This 851-nucleotide long non-coding RNA is filed under the name Homo sapiens (human). RNAcentral's name for it is "STARD13 antisense RNA". The record is from RNAcentral. Lineage: Eukaryota; Metazoa; Chordata; Mammalia; Primates; Hominidae.
GGGGGAGAAUGGGCAUCCCACCCCAGCACUUUCUAGGAAGAAGGGCAGCAUUUUGAAGGGCUGGAAGUAGAGGAAGGAGGUUGCGGGUAGAAGACUCCAUACUUUCUGUGACGCCUAUUCCUUAGCUUGUGAUGAAUGUUUUCUCAGUAUCCUAUGCUGAAAACAGGUAGAUACUAAUAUCGAUCUUCAAGGGAGGGCUGUUGAGUAUUGAAUAAGACAAAAACAUGGAAGCAAUCAGCACCAUGCUGGAGAGCCUUUAUAUAACCAAAGAUAUUUUUGGACCAUGAAUUCAGAAAUUCUCGGAGCCACCCAUCAGUGCCUGAGCUUCAGUGAGUCCAUAUCCCAUGUCACCCACGGCAAAGGAGACUCUAAGACUUCUGAAGAGUUUCUUGCUUCUUUCCUGUGGGGCAGUGACUCCACUUCCCAGCAGUAAUGGAAUAUCCUGAAUUAGCUACAUUAAUGUUAGAACCAUUUGGACCUCACCCAGGACUUCAACUACAUUAUGCUAAAGUUACAGAACCCAAAUUUGGCAACUGUCUGCAUCUGAACAACAGAAGUUUCAACAUUCUGCCAACAGAGUAACUCCUGGACGAUUGGCACAGAAGAAGGCACAAGGUUCUAGUAUGUUACGUUUAUGUUCCCCUGCUUUCUACAAUCCUGUUCAAAGAGUUGCUGACUUAACCACAGAGAGGAUUCCAGAACCUGAGACACAGAAUAAACUUGAGCAAUCAUAGUCCAUCCACUUCAUUGUCUCAUCAAAAACCAAAGGUCCAGUGAAGCUCUGGAACUCAACGCUGUAAAGGAGCGAAGGAGCUUCUAUACAGAGCCUGGAUGCCUGUCUCCUUAUCCUA